GCUACCAAAACACCCCUUCUGGAGUAGAAGCUGCUGGAAGGCAGGCCUGAGCCAUUCACCACGGACAGGAAGAGCAGCUCUGGCUAUCACCACUGGCCUCUGGGGUCUUCAUAUCUUGCCAUCUCAUCCAGGGUUCCAUGAAAGUUACCCAGGGUCCUCAUGUCCUUCCUUAGAGCCUGAGUGGUGUGAGGUGACAGGUCUCUCUCUCCACUGCCCCUUUCUGGUUUAAAAAAAUGGUCCUCACCUCUGAUCCACUUAGAGCAAUAACCACUUUUUAAAUGUAAAAUAAAAAGACAAAUGAAAAGGCA
This 308-nucleotide small RNA is filed under the name Pan troglodytes (chimpanzee). Its description in RNAcentral is "processed transcript". Lineage: Eukaryota; Metazoa; Chordata; Mammalia; Primates; Hominidae. The record is from RNAcentral.